GACGAACGCUGGCGGCGUGCCUAAUACAUGCAAGUCGAACGCACAGUUUAUACCGUAGCUUGCUACACCAUAGACUGUGAGUUGCGAACGGGUGAGUAACGCGUAGGUAACCUGCCUGGUAGCGGGGGGUAACUAUUGGAAACGAUAGCUAAUACCGCAUAAUAUUGAUUAUUGCAUGAUAAUUGAUUGAAAGAUGCUAUUGCAUCACUACCAGAUGGACCUGCGUUGUAUUAGCUAGUAGGUGAGGUAACGGCUCACCUAGGCGACGAUACAUAGCCGACCUGAGAGGGUGAUCGGCCACACUGGGACUGAGACACGGCCCAGACUCCUACGGGAGGCAGCAGUAGGGAAUCUUCGGCAAUGGACGAAAGUCUGACCGAGCAACGCCGCGUGAGUGAAGAAGGUUUUCGGAUCGUAAAGCUCUGUUGUAAGAGAAGAACGGGUGUGAGAGUGGAAAGUUCACACUGUGACGGUAUCUUACCAGAAAGGGACGGCUAACUACAUG
This 505-nucleotide ribosomal RNA is filed under the name uncultured bacterium. RNAcentral describes it as "partial 16S ribosomal RNA". It matches the Rfam family "Bacterial small subunit ribosomal RNA", at positions 28 to 507 of the family's 1533-position model. The record is from RNAcentral.